AUUUUUAUUUUUAUUUUUUUAUAAAAAAAACUUGUGUUCUGUGUAGAUGCCAAGAAGCAGAUUCAGCAGUUUGCAUCCCAGACUAUAGCAAAUCGAGUCUCAUCUACUAUUCAGUCGGCUUUCAGUGUCGUGUGAAUUCAUUAUGGGAAAUGGGCAUAGGAUGGAAGAUCUGCAGGUUUUUGUGAGAGAGUUGCAAAGUGGUGGGGCACUGUACAAAUUGGCUUAUUCUUUAAACUGAUGUAUGAUAAAUAAUGGAUGUUUUUGUUCAUGAGGAAUAGUUAUUGCAGGAAUGCUUUAACAUUUAUCAUUUAAAAUCUCAUAAAUCAUGAUUUGUUAUUUAUUAAACAAAAUGCAGUGGGUGAUCAUAUUAUCACUCCCCAAAAGAUUU
Molecule: unclassified non-coding RNA, 388 nt
Filed under: Hevea brasiliensis (rubber tree)
Lineage: Eukaryota; Viridiplantae; Streptophyta; Magnoliopsida; Malpighiales; Euphorbiaceae
Source: RNAcentral